UACAAUUUGUUGGAAGAAAAACAAAAACCCA
Molecule: non-coding RNA, 31 nt
Filed under: Mus musculus (house mouse)
Lineage: Eukaryota; Metazoa; Chordata; Mammalia; Rodentia; Muridae
Source: RNAcentral